This 599-nucleotide long non-coding RNA is filed under the name Astyanax mexicanus (Mexican tetra). RNAcentral describes it as "lncRNA (ENSAMXG00005010335.1)". The record is from RNAcentral. Lineage: Eukaryota; Metazoa; Chordata; Actinopteri; Characiformes; Acestrorhamphidae.
CAUGGUUGGCGGACUGUCAAGUUUAGCUAAGUGUACUAUGGGUUAAUGUGUUGAUUUAGGUCUUAAGUUUGCCAUGUAAGCUUUAUCAGUAUGGGGUUUCCAAUACACCAUGGAAAUUCCUCUUCAUGCAUGGCCAGAUCAUGUCCAGGUUUGCUUUCAUCGCUGCACGAUUAGUUGCUUCGGUGACAAUGAGGCCUGGAUGUCUAACGCUGGUGGUUGUGACGGUGACCUGGAGCAUUUGGCGCUUCAGCAUGAUGGCUUUGGCUAGAUUUCGGACAGCGUCAUUGCUCUGCUAAGAGAAUGUUCUAUUGAAACUGAGGAUAUGAUGUCCAUGUAUUGAGACCUGCUUCAGUCAUCUUCCGUCAUGGUGCAGUGAUUUGGAGUGUCCAGGAGGUGGCACUCUGUCCUGUUCCUGGUGAGGAGGAUGCAGAAAUGGAAAGGAUCAAAAAGCAAGAGCAGGACUGGAGUUGGCAUUGAACCUGUCUUCCCUUCAGUGGGGAUGUGGAAUAAAAGGGGAUGAAAGUUUGUCAAGCCCACCAUUAUACAAGGAUGACUGUAUUUACAUGAUGCAAAUCAUUUUCCAAUAAAAUGAUGUCUGG